RNAcentral lists this ribosomal RNA (482 nucleotides) under Comamonas sp. BI3. RNAcentral describes it as "bacterial SSU rRNA". It matches the Rfam family "Bacterial small subunit ribosomal RNA", at positions 46 to 525 of the family's 1533-position model. Lineage: Bacteria; Pseudomonadati; Pseudomonadota; Betaproteobacteria; Burkholderiales; Comamonadaceae. The record is from RNAcentral.
GCUUUACACAUGCAAGUCGAACGGUAACAGCACUUCGGUGGCUGACGAGUGGCGAACGGGUGAGUAAUACAUCGGAACGUGCCUAGUAGUGGGGGAUAACUACUCGAAAGAGUAGCUAAUACCGCAUGAGAUCUACGGAUGAAAGCAGGGGACCUUCGGGCCUUGUGCUACUAGAGCGGCUGAUGGCAGAUUAGGUAGUUGGUGGGGUAAAGGCUCACCAAGCCAACGAUCUGUAGCUGGUCUGAGAGGACGACCAGCCACACUGGAACUGAGACACGGUCCAGACUCCUACGGGAGGCAGCAGUGGGGAAUUUUGGACAAUGGGCGCAAGCCUGAUCCAGCAAUGCCGCGUGCAGGAUGAAGGCCUUCGGGUUGUAAACUGCUUUUGUACAGAACGAAAAGUCUUGGGUUAAUACCCUGGGACCAUGACGGUACUGUAAGAAUAAGCACCGGCUAACUACGUGCCAGCAGCCGCGGUAAUA